GAUGAACGCUGGCGGCGUGCCUAAUACAUGCAAGUAGAACGCUGAAGGAGGAGCUUGCUCUUCUGGAUGAGUUGCGAACGGGUGAGUAACGCGUAGGUAACCUGCCUGGUAGCGGGGGAUAACUAUUGGAAACGAUAGCUAAUACCGCAUGACAACAGUUAUUGCAUGAUAACUGUUUAAAAGGGGCACUGCUCCACUACCAGAUGGACCUGCGUUGUAUUAGCUAGGUGGUGAGGUAACGGCUCACCAAGGCGACGAUACAUAGCCGACCUGAGAGGGUGAUCGGCCACACUGGGACUGAGACACGGCCCAGACUCCUACGGGAGGCAGCAGUAGGGAAUCUUCGGCAAUGGACGGAAGUCUGACCGAGCAACGCCGCGUGAGUGAAGAAGGUUUUCGGAUCGUAAAGCUCUGUUGUAAGAGAAGAACGAGUGUGAGAGUGGAAAGUUCACACUGUGACGGUAUCUUACCAGAAAGGGACGGCUAACUACGUG
Molecule: ribosomal RNA, 494 nt
Filed under: uncultured bacterium
Lineage: Bacteria
Description: partial 16S ribosomal RNA
Rfam family: Bacterial small subunit ribosomal RNA
Source: RNAcentral